AACGAACGCUGGCGGCAGGCUUAACACAUGCAAGUCGAGCGCCCCGCAAGGGGAGCGGCAGACGGGUGAGUAACGCGUGGGAAUCUACCUUUUGCUACGGAAUAACGCAGGGAAACUUGUGCUAAUACCGUAUGUGUCCUUCGGGAGAAAGAUUUAUCGGCAAGAGAUGAGCCCGCGUUGGAUUAGCUAGUUGGUGGGGUAAAGGCCUACCAAGGCGACGAUCCAUAGCUGGUCUGAGAGGAUGAUCAGCCACAUUGGGACUGAGACACAGCCCAAACUCCUACGGGAGGCAGCAGUGGGGAAUAUUGGACAAUGGGCGCAAGCCUGAUCCAGCCAUGCCGCGUGAGUGAUGAAGGCCCUAGGGUUGUAAAGCUCUUUCACCGGAGAAGAUAAUGACGGUAUCCGGAGAAGAAGCCCCGGCUAACUUCGUGCCAGCAGCCGCGGUAA
RNAcentral lists this ribosomal RNA (447 nucleotides) under uncultured Hyphomicrobiales bacterium. RNAcentral describes it as "bacterial SSU rRNA". It matches the Rfam family "Bacterial small subunit ribosomal RNA", at positions 29 to 523 of the family's 1533-position model. The record is from RNAcentral. Lineage: Bacteria; Pseudomonadati; Pseudomonadota; Alphaproteobacteria; Hyphomicrobiales.